Molecule: long non-coding RNA, 3461 nt
Organism: Salvelinus fontinalis (brook trout)
Lineage: Eukaryota; Metazoa; Chordata; Actinopteri; Salmoniformes; Salmonidae
Exons: 3
Source: RefSeq, a predicted model, not a curated record
AUGCAGGGCAGGCGGAGUGGGAGGUUCUUGGACACAAUCCCCAGGAUGGAACGCCCUACACAUCUGUGAAGCCCAAUAGACAAAGAUCAUUGACUGUCUGAGCCCCCCAGGAGGUAUCCCAUCCACCAGAACCAGUGAGUUCGAAUCAGUCUGAUUGUGCUCUGAGUUGGAGGGGGAACAGCUUGAGGACCUAGGGGUUCUGCCCAACACCCAGACGUGGAUCCACCUGAUGUCCUCCACUACCUGUUCUCCAGGACCUAGGGGUUCUGCCCACCACCCAGACGUGGAUCCACCUGAUGUCCUCCACUACCUGUUCUCCAGGACCUAGGGGUUCUGCCCACCACCCAGACGUGGAUCCACCUGAUGUCCUCCACUACCUCUUCUCCAGGACCUAGGGGUGCUGCCCACCACCCAGACGUGGAUCCACCUGAUGUCCUCCACUACCUGUUCUCCAGGACCUAGGGGUUCUGCCCAACACCCAGACGUGGAUCCACCUGAUGUCCUCCACUACCUGUUCUCCAGGACCUAGGGGUUCUGCCCAACACCCAGACGUGGAUCCACCUGAUGUCCUCCACUACCUGUUCUCCAGGACCUGGGGGUUCUGCCCAACACCCAGACCCACCUGAUGUCCUCCACUACCUGUUCUCCAGGACCGAUAGGGGUUCUGCCCAACACCCAGACGUGGAUCCACCUGAUGUCCUCCACUACCUGUUCUCCAGGACCGAUAGGGGUUCUGCCCAACACCCAGACGUGGAUCCACCUGAUGUCCUCCACUACCUGUUCUCCAGGACCUGGGGGUUCUGCCCAACACCCAGACCCACCUGAUGUCCUCCACUACCUGUUCUCCAGGACCGAUAGGGGUUCUGCCCAACACCCAGACGUGGAUCCACCUGAUGUCCUCCACUACCUGUUCUCCAGGACCGAUAGGGGUUCUGCCCAACACCCAGACGUGGAUCCACCUGAUGUCUUCCACUACCUGUUCUCCAGGACCUAUAGGGGUUCUGCCCAACACCCAGACGUGGAUCCACCUGAUGUCCUCCAUUACCAACCACCCUCCAACUUUUCAUUACAUCAGCUACUGUUAUUGUCAUGUCAUUAUCUGCUAAGAAAGAGCAAGACAACUAUCAUACUGGGCACAUCAUGUGAGAUCCACUGAUUAACUAAAAACACUAGCACUGCAAACACUCAGAACAAAGAGAGCAGCAGUCCCUGGACUUUGCAGUCUCCCUCUUCAAGUACCCCAUCCGAGACUGGCUGCCUGUUGAGAACAAGUGACAGGCAGAACCUCCCACCCACACAGCAACCACCUCCUCUAUAUUCCAUACACCAGAAUUUAGUAUUUUAGUCUAUGAUUGCCAUGUGACUGUACCAAAAAAUAUCAAAGUUUAUGUAUUAAAAUCUUAAAUAUUGGCAGGUUGGUUUUCACAGCUGUUUCACAAGGUGAUCAUUGUAAGUUGUAAGGUGUCUUUGAUGGUAUUUAAUUGUUCCACAUGAUGCAUCGUUGUAGGGUGUACUAAUGAGCUAUGCGAGAUAGAAAAAAAAUGAAUCAUACUAGAGGACUACUGAAAUGAUAUUACUUCAGUAUAGAUGAGGGAAGCGCAGGUUAAAAUAAGAACAUGACAGCCAGACAAGCCAGUGUAUGAAUCAAAUGGAUUUGCAUAUGAAUGGAGUGGCAAUUUGCUGACUUUGUGAUCUGUAAGGUAAGUAACAUUAAUGUGUUAAGUUGAUAACUCGUUUUCUUUGCUAUUUCUGAAAAGUAGCAAUGUUUAGGACAUGGAUUUCAUGUUUUAAUGUUAACAAGGUACCCAAAAGUAUUUCAAAGUAAUGUUUCAAUUUUGUUAGCUAAACAAAACUUGUUUAAACAGUGACAUUUUUGUGGAACUCAGCCUUGUUUGCAUAACGAUGAUGAAAAUAAUGUAUUUUACACUGUAAUGAUUUCCAAAAUUCUAAUCAUUAGGCCAUCACACUGUUGAUAAAGCAACGGACGCUCAUAGUUUAUUGAUUCCCAAUGUGACGCAAUGGCACACAUUUCAAGUUUUGAGGGAGCAUGCAAUUGGCAGGCUGACUGAAGGAAUGUCCACCAGAGCUGUUGCUAGAGAAUUCCAUGUUAAUUUCUCUACCAUAAGCCGUCUCCAACAUUGUUUUAGAGAAUUUGGCAGUACGUCCAAUUGGCCUCACAACCGCAGACCACGUGUAACCACGCCAGCCCAGGACCUCCUUACUGAUGUCAACGUUGUGAACAGAGUGCCCCAUGAUGGCGGUGGGGUUAUGGUAUGGUCAGGCAUAAGCUAUGGACAACAAACACAAUUACAUUUUAUCGAUGGCAAUUUCAAUGCACAAUGAAACCGUGACGAGUUCCUGAGGGCCAUUGUCGUGCCAUUCGUCCUCCGCCAUCACCUCAUGUUUCAGCAUGGCCCAAUGUCGCAAGGAUCUGUACACAAUUACUGGAAGUUGAAAAUGUCCCAGUUCUUCCACAGACAUGCCACCCAUUGACAUGCCACCCAAUGUUUGGGAUGCUCUGGAUCAAUGUGUACGACAAUGUGUUUCAGUUCCCACCAAAAUCCAGGAACUUCUCACAGCCAUUGAGGAAGACUGGGACAACAUUCCACAGGCCACAAUCAACAGCAUGAGGUAAAUGGUGGUCACACCAGAUACUGACUGGUUUUCUGAUCCAUGCCCAUACCUUUUUCAAAAAGGUAUCUGUCACAAACAGAUACAUAUCUGUAUUCCCAGUCAUGUGAAAUCCAUAGAUGAGCGUCUAAUGAAUUUAUUUAAAUUGAUUGAUUUCCUUAUAUGAACUGUACCGCCCUUGCUGUCUCUGCCUGGCCAGUUCCCCCCUCGCCACUGGGAUUCUCUGCCUCUAACUCCUGAGGUGCUGACCUGUUGCACUCUUGACAACCACUGGGAUUAUUAUUAUUUGACCCUGUUGGUCAUCUAUGAACAUUUGAACAUCUUGGCCAUGUUCUGUUAUAAUCUCCACCUGGCACAGCCAGAAGAGGACUGGUCACCCCUCAUAGCCUGGUUCCUAUCUAGGUUUCUUCCUAGGUUCUGGCCUUUCUAGUGAGUUUUCCCUAGCCACUGUGCUUCUACACCUGCAUGGCUUGUUGUUUGGGGUUUUAGUUUGGCUUGGUUUCUGUACAUCACUUUGAGAUAUCAGCUGAUGCAAGAAGGGCUUUAUAAUACAUUUGAUUUAACUCAGUAACUCAGUAAGAUUGAAAUUGUUGCAAUUAUUUUUGUUCAGUGCAGAAACAGCAGGUGUUGUGUUAUCCAUUGCUGUUUUCAGAGUUUGAACAGAAGUGAGAGAUCCUAGAGUAGUGUUGGCAUAAAGUCUGAAAACUGAUAUACCCCCCCCCCUCUCUCUCUUUCUUUCUUUUGUGUUUUUCUUUUACUCUCUUUCACUCUUUCUUUCUUUCGCUCUCUCUUUUUGUGCGGUGGAUGAGGGGGGCUUGGUUUUAGCUUUC